GAUGAACGCUGGCGGCGUGCCUAAUACAUGCAAGUCGAGCGAACAGAUGAGGAGCUUGCUCCUCUGACGUUAGCGGCGGACGGGUGAGUCACACGUGGAUAACCUACCUAUAAGACUGGGAUAACUUCGGGAAACCGGAGCUAAUACCGGAUAAUAUAUUGAACCGCAUGGUUCAAUAGUGAAAGACGGUUUUGCUGUCACUUAUAGAUGGAUCCGCGCCGCAUUAGCUAGUUGGUAAGGUAACGGCUUACCAAGGCGACGAUGCGUAGCCGACCUAAGAGGGGGGUCGGCCACACUGGAGCUGAGACACGGUCCAGGCGCCUACGGGAGGCAGCAGAAGGGAAUCUUCCGCAAUGGGCGAAAGCCUGACGGAGCAACGCGGCGUGAGUGAUGAAGGUGUUCGGAUCGUAAAACUGUGUUUUUAGGGAAGAACAAAUGUGUAAGUAACUAUGCACGGCUUGACGGUACCUAAUCAGAAAGCCACGGCUAACUACGUG
RNAcentral lists this ribosomal RNA (497 nucleotides) under uncultured bacterium. RNAcentral describes it as "partial 16S ribosomal RNA". It matches the Rfam family "Bacterial small subunit ribosomal RNA", at positions 28 to 507 of the family's 1533-position model. The record is from RNAcentral.